UUCAAGUUUGCCAAAUCAAUUCUACUCAAGACAGCCACGCAGGCAGUCAAACGUAAGGACGCAGUUGGUCCAAAGUGGUGUACCAAGUCAACUAGCAACUGAAAUACAAAAAAUGAAUGGCAGUGACCCAAGAAAGACCUCGACAAGUAGCUGCCCAAGUGCUUUAAAAUAUUCCUUUUUCUGAUGUUAAGCAGGCGCUAAAAUGACAAAAAUCCGGUUUGGCGCAGAAACUACAGGUCUACUAACUUAAAAUAUGACGCAUUAUGCGCCGCAGGAUUACUUCUAUAAUAACA
This 293-nucleotide small RNA is filed under the name Drosophila willistoni. RNAcentral's name for it is "GK27826". The record is from RNAcentral. Lineage: Eukaryota; Metazoa; Arthropoda; Insecta; Diptera; Drosophilidae.